Molecule: non-coding RNA, 78 nt
Organism: Ostertagia ostertagi
Lineage: Eukaryota; Metazoa; Nematoda; Chromadorea; Rhabditida; Trichostrongylidae
Source: the annotation of a GenBank genome assembly
AGCCCGAUGCGGGGCUCGAACCCGCGACAGCCAGAUUAAGAGUCUGGUGGCUCUAAACCGACUGAGGCUACACCGGGC